GUUGGUGCAUUGGGUUGUCUCGAAUUUCACUCAUCAGAAUAGGAUUCAGGAGCCUUCUACUCAUGCAUCUGAUAGCACUAAAUCUGACAAUGUCAAGAGUGAGGUGUCUGAUGUUGUAGCGUCUUUGAAGGAACAAGGAGGAAGGAACAUGAUGUUUCAACAACUUGGAGGAGUAAAUGUAAUUGGAUUCUAUAAAUUAUGCAAAGUUCUUCAAGUUAUGUAAACAAUUGUAUUCUUUAUAAUCUAUGUAAAAAAAUUAUGUAUCUUUCUAGUAUUUUGAUGAAUGUAUUAUUUGAAUAUAAUUAUAUUUGAUAUUGAAAUAUAAUUAGAUCUAUUGUGUUGGAUAUGAA
Asparagus officinalis (garden asparagus) is the source of this 350-nucleotide long non-coding RNA. RefSeq lists it as uncharacterized. The record is from RefSeq and is a predicted model, not a curated record. The transcript has 3 exons. Lineage: Eukaryota; Viridiplantae; Streptophyta; Magnoliopsida; Asparagales; Asparagaceae.